This 613-nucleotide ribosomal RNA is filed under the name uncultured bacterium. RNAcentral describes it as "bacterial SSU rRNA". The stretch from base 1 to 522 matches the Rfam family "Bacterial small subunit ribosomal RNA", at positions 338 to 873 of the family's 1533-position model. The record is from RNAcentral.
CCUACGGGAGGCAGCAGUGGGGAAUAUUGGACAAUGGGCGAAAGCCUGAUCCAGCAAUGCCGCGUGAGUGAUGAAGGCCUUCGGGUCGUAAAGCUCUUUUACCAGGGAUGAUAAUGACAGUACCUGGAGAAUAAGCUCCGGCUAACUCCGUACCAGCAGCCGCGGUAAUACGGAGGGAGCUAGCGUUGUUCGGAAUUACUGGGCGUAAAGAGUACGUAGGCGGUUAUUCAAGUCAGAGGUGAAAGCCCGGGGCUCAACCCCGGAACUGCCUUUGAAACUAGAUAACUAGAGUCUUGGAGAGGUUAGUGGAAUUCCGAGUGUAGAGGUGAAAUUCGUAGAUAUUCGGAAGAACACCAGUGGCGAAGGCGACUAACUGGACAAGUACUGACGCUGAGGUACGAAAGCGUGGGGAGCAAACAGGAUUAGAUACCCUGGUAGUCCACGCCGUAAACGAUGAUAACUAGUUGUUCGGUCACUUGGUGUACUGAGUGACGCGAGACUACGACAUUAAGUUAUUCCGUCCGUCGGGUAGGUACGGUCGUCGAAGAAUUAAACUACAAUAGUAGUUAGUACGGCGUGAGACGUGCCGACGGACGACGACGAGGGAGGUAGG